This is a long non-coding RNA of Pezoporus flaviventris, 1032 nucleotides long. RefSeq lists it as uncharacterized. Lineage: Eukaryota; Metazoa; Chordata; Aves; Psittaciformes; Psittacidae. The record is from RefSeq and is a predicted model, not a curated record. The transcript has 2 exons.
UUUACAGAACAAAUAAGAUAAAUGCCCUUCCCCGUAGAGAUUGCAAGCUAAAUUUUUUCACAUGUGAGAGCAGCAACUGGAAGAGACAUCCAUGGAGAAGAAAUAGAUACACGAGGAGACCUUUGCAAUCUUCUCCAUUCCUUGAGACAUCGAGAAAUGCGGUGCCCAUGUGGUUACGUGCCACAAGGCGGUUGUGUCUCUGCAGCUUCUCUCAUUAAUCAUGUUGGUAUACAUCUACCCCUGGGGGGUCUGAUGGUGUGAACAGCUCCUGGAAACCAGAAGCACAUGGGACAAGGGCCAGGUCCCAGUUAGAGGUUAGCAGUCAAUGUUAGCCUAAUAUUAGAAUCUUGCUGGAUUCAUCCUAAGAUGAAUACGGAGUGCUUUCCUGGAAAAUGCUUUUUAUCCAGGGAGUGCUGUUCUCAAUGUAGAGGUAUUGAGGAGAAAUUUAACGGCUGGUAUACACAUUAUCAGAUGAUCUCUCCUGGCCUUAUCCCAUAUAAUUUAAAAUGCAGUCAGUUAAAGUUCAGAGCUGCUGCAGGUGCUACAAAAGCUUUCUGAUAGUUUUGACUUUUAAUCACAGAUCUCUCAAGUAUUUUCUACCAGACUGCUGUGUUGUGAAAGAGGGUAAGAAAUUGGCCAACCACAAGAAGGCAAAGGGAUGAAGGUAGUCUGUAUCUAAAAUUGUCAUAUGGACAAUGUAAAUAAUCUCAUAUCCCCUGUGUCCAGAAAUUUCGCUAAUUUCUCUAUGGUAUACAGCAUUAUUUGUAAAAAUGGUGAAGAUGCUUAGGUAGAAGUUAUACAUUUCUUUUAAGUUGAGGGUAGCUCUCCAAUCAGCAGUCCUAACUAGGCUAUUAGUUACAACAAUGUGUAAUCGUUUCAAGGCUCUUUGAGCAAGAUGUAGUGGGUGUUUGAUCUUGUAAUUAACCUGCUGCCAUUGGCCAUGCAUUCUCUCCACCCUGUAAUUACUUGUCUAAAAAAUAACACCAUUCAAACCAUACAUUGUACAGAAAAUUAAAAGAGCAUUAAUUUUAA